RNAcentral lists this ribosomal RNA (962 nucleotides) under Vreelandella aquamarina. Its description in RNAcentral is "bacterial SSU rRNA". It matches the Rfam family "Bacterial small subunit ribosomal RNA", at positions 37 to 999 of the family's 1533-position model. Lineage: Bacteria; Pseudomonadati; Pseudomonadota; Gammaproteobacteria; Oceanospirillales; Halomonadaceae. The record is from RNAcentral.
AGGCGGCAGCUACACAUGCAGUCGAGCGGUAACAGGUCGUAGCUUGCUACCCGCUGACGAGCGGCGGACGGGUGAGUAAUGCAUAGGAAUUUACCCGAUAGUGGGGGAUAACCUGGGGAAACCCAGGCUAAUACCGCAUACGUCCUACGGGAGAAAGGGGGCUUCGGCUCCCGCUAUCGGAUGAGCCUAUGCCGGAUUAGCUGGUUGGUGAGGUAAUGGCUCACCAAGGCGACGAUCCGUAGCUGGUCUGAGAGGAUGAUCAGCCACAUCGGGACUGAGACACGGCCCGAACUCCUACGGGAGGCAGCAGUGGGGAAUAUUGGACAAUGGGCGCAAGCCUGAUCCAGCCAUGCCGCGUGUGUGAAGAAGGCCCUCGGGUUGUAAAGCACUUUCAGCGAGGAAGAACGCCUGGCGGUUAAUACCCGCCAGGAAAGACAUCACUCGCAGAAGAAGCACCGGCUAACUCCGUGCCAGCAGCCGCGGUAAUACGGAGGGUGCAAGCGUUAAUCGGAAUUACUGGGCGUAAAGCGCGCGUAGGUGGCUUGAUAAGCCGGUUGUGAAAGCCCCGGGCUCAACCUGGGAACGGCAUCCGGAACUGUCAGGCUAGAGUGCAGGAGAGGAAGGUAGAAUUCCCGGUGUAGCGGUGAAAUGCGUAGAGAUCGGGAGGAAUACCAGUGGCGAAGGCGGCCUUCUGGACUGACACUGACACUGAGGUGCGAAAGCGUGGGUAGCAAACAGGAUUAGAUACCCUGGUAGUCCACGCCGUAAACGAUGUCGACCAGCCGUUGGGUGCCUAGCGCACUUUGUGGCGAAGUUAACGCGAUAAGUCGACCGCCUGGGGAGUACGGCCGCAAGGUUAAAACUCAAAUGAAUUGACGGGGGCCCGCACAAGCGGUGGAGCAUGUGGUUUAAUUCGAUGCAACGCGAAGAACCUUACCUACUCUUGACAUCUACAGAAGCUC